This 164-nucleotide ribosomal RNA is filed under the name Strobilanthes japonica. Its description in RNAcentral is "5.8S ribosomal RNA". It matches the Rfam family "5.8S ribosomal RNA". From Rfam's summary of the family: 5.8S ribosomal RNA (5.8S rRNA) is a component of the large subunit of the eukaryotic ribosome. It is transcribed by RNA polymerase I as part of the 45S precursor that also contains 18S and 28S rRNA. Lineage: Eukaryota; Viridiplantae; Streptophyta; Magnoliopsida; Lamiales; Acanthaceae. The record is from RNAcentral.
AAACGACUCUCGGCAACGGAUAUCUCGGCUCUCGCAUCGAUGAAGAACGUAGCGAAAUGCGAUACUUGGUGUGAAUUGCAGAAUCCAGUGAACCAUCGAGUCUUUGAACGCAAGUUGCGCCCGAAGCCUUCGGGCCGAGGGCACGCCUGCCUGGGCGUCACGCA